Molecule: ribosomal RNA, 253 nt
Filed under: uncultured bacterium
Lineage: Bacteria
Description: partial 16S ribosomal RNA
Rfam family: Bacterial small subunit ribosomal RNA
Source: RNAcentral
UACAGAGGGGGCAAGCGUUGUUCGGAAUUACUGGGCGUAAAGGGCGCGUAGGCGGCCUGCUAAGUCGAACGUGAAAUCCCCGGGCUCAACCCGGGAACUGCGUCCGAUACUGGUAGGCUUGAAUUCGGGAGAGGGAUGCGGAAUUCCAGGUGUAGCGGUGAAAUGCGUAGAUAUCUGGAGGAACACCGGUGGCGAAGGCGGCAUCCUGGACCGACAUUGACGCUGAGGCGCGAAAGCCAGGGGAGCAGACGGG